UGCGCAGGCGGGGCAAUAAGUCAGUGGUGAAAUCCUGCGGCUUAACCGUAAAACUGCCAUUGAUACUGUUGCCCUUGAGUAUAGUUGAGGUGGGCGGAAUAUGUAAUGUAGCGGUGAAAUGCAUAGAGAUUACAUAGAACACCAAUUGCGAAGGCAGCUCACUAAGCUAUCACUGACGCUGAGGCACGAAAGCGUGGGGAGCGAACAGGAUUAGAUACCCUGGUAGUCC
Molecule: ribosomal RNA, 229 nt
Filed under: uncultured bacterium
Lineage: Bacteria
Description: partial 16S ribosomal RNA
Rfam family: Bacterial small subunit ribosomal RNA
Source: RNAcentral